UUUAGACAAGGUGGUCAGGGCAAGCCUCUCAGAAGAGGUGAUAAGUGUUCAGAGACCUGACUAAAGCGAGAGAGUGAGCUAUUGACGUGGAGAAGGGCAUUUCAGACUCUGAAGAGAAAGCAGGGGCAGGCUUUGGAGGGAGAGCUUAUUUAUAUAGAUGAGGAGGGGCAAAGAGUCUUGUGGAUAAAGCAGAAUGAACAAGAGUAAGUGGGAUUGUAAAUGAAAUUGGAGAGAGAAGCAGGGGUCAGAGCAUGGCAAGAUCUUGAGAUUUUAUUCUAAAUACAGGAAGAUGGUGGUUAUAUUUGAGAAAGGAAAUGAUAUAAGCUAAAUUUUCUUUUCAAAAGGAUUCCUUUGGCUACUGAGUAAAGAGGAAUUUUAGGAAAAAAGAAUGGGGACAAAAAAUCCAUUGUAGGAUAAAACAAUCCAGAAAGACAUGAUGGGGCUUAGACUAGGAAAUGGAGAUGCUGAGAAGGAUUUGAAUUCUGGACCUAUUGUGAAGGCAGAGCUGACAAGAUUUGCUGAUAGAUUGAUAUUGUGAUAUAAAAGCAAGAGAUCAGAAAUGACUCUAGAUUAUUUUACCUAAACCAUGAAGUAAAUGAUGGUACAGCUGACUGAGAUGGUGAACAAUGGGUUAGAAGAACACUGGGGAGAAAAUCAUGUUUGUUUUUGGAAUAUCAGUUGGAGAUGUUUAUUAGAUAUCCAAGUGGAGGCGGGGCACAGUGGCUCACGCCUGUAAUCCCAGCACUUUGGGAGGCCAAGGCGGGCAGAUCACGAGGUCAGGAGAUCGAGACUAUCCUAGCUAACAUGGUGAAACCCCUUCUUUACUAAAAAUACAAAAAAUUAGCCGGGUAUGGUGGCACGUGCCUGUGGUCCCAGCUACUCAGAGGCUGAGGCAGGAGAAUUGUUUGAACCCGAGAGGUGGGGGUUGCAGUGAGCCGAUAUCAAGCCACUGCACUCCGGCCUGGGUGACAGAGUGAGACUCCAUCUCAAAAAAAAAAAAAAAAAAAAAAUCCACGUAGAGUAGCAGGAGUGUCUUGUAAGCUGGAGUUCAAGGAAGAGGUUGAGCUGAAACAGAAAUCUGAGAGUAAUCAGUUUAUAAAUAGUAUUAAAAGUCAUGAGUCUGUAUGAGCCCACCAAAAGACAAUGUAGUUAAGGAAGAGAAAACCAAAGAUGGCGAUGCCUCUCACUCCAACAUACAGACCUCAGAAAACAGGAGGGUAUUCCAGAAUGUUCAGUGAGGUAGAGGGAAAACCAGGAGUGUGCUGUCCUGCAAGCCAAGUAAAGAAGGUGUUUCAAAAGUGAGGGAAUGGGCAGGGGUGGAUUGUUAUUGAGAGGCUGAGCAAAAUGGGAACUGAAGAUUCACAGUCAGACUAAGUCUGAAGGUCAUCGAUGACCCCAAUGAGAGCAGUUUCUAUGCAGUAUUGAGCAAGAAAAGAGUAACUCGAGUGAGUUCAAGAAAACAUGGGAAGUGAGGAAGUAGAAAUGGAUACAGAAAAUUCAAAAUAUUUUCCUACAAAGUGCAGCAGAAGAAUGAUGUAAAAGUUGGAGAUAAAUGUGAGAUUGAGAGAAUUUUUUAAAAGCUAAUAUAGCAUGUGUAAUAGUGCUGAUGGGGCCAACAGAGAGAUAGCAAAACUGAUAAUGCAAAAGAGAAAGGGAUAUUUAUUUGACAGAGUAACAUGCUUGAAAAGGGUUGAGGGACAGGCUCCAGUACGUGAGCAGAGGCGCUGGUCCUGCACAGUAACUGUAGCAGGCAGUGAGGUGGUGUGCACAGAGGCAGGUAGUUUGGGAAUAUGGUGACGUGAUGGGCAUAAGUACAUACUCAUCUGAUUUUUGUUUUGGUCUCAGUAAGAUAGAAGUAAGGUCGUCAGUAGACAAUGAAGAGUUUGUGGAAGUUUGAGAAGUGUGAAAUUGACCUUGGAAACUGUGACAAUAAGUUACUGGACAGUGAUGAAAACCAUGUGAGCCAUAUUCAUAUAAAUACAAAGGAACACAGGUCAACAUGGUGGUCUUUUGUUCUUCAGUCAUGUUUAGUAUUUUUAGGCACAUGUUAAGAGUAAGAAAAAUUAGUUUUAGUUUUAUAGAGUUGCAUUUUGUUUCUUUUUAAUUCUCGAAAGAGUAGUACAUUGCUGAGAGAGUAGACAAUGGGAUUUGGAAAUGGGGCAAGAGAAUAAUUAUGAGAAGGAACCAUAGAAGCUAAGCUGGUCAAGGAGGGAAGUAAUGAAAUGGGGGAUGAUAGUCGGUGAAAACUUACCAAGUUGGAGUGAUGGUGCUAAGGGGAGUGACUAGAGAGGGAAGAAGUGAUGACCACAGCGUGGGAUGCUGAAAUGGAACUGUUGGCGAUGCCAGUGAUUAGUCAUGACACAGUACGCAGUAUAACCAUGAGUGUGGUGGCUGAUGUUCAGGCAGCGGCAGAACAAGAUUUUUAAAAGUCGUCAAGGAGCUGAGUGGCCAAGAUGGUGAAUGGAGUAUGAAUGGGGAGGGUGAGUGGGUUACGUGCUAGAAUAUCCAGUGCUUGUAAGAAGGUCAUUAGAGAGGAAGAAGGAUUAAAGUUCUGAAAGUAGCUGCAAACAGCAAAGCAAGAUCUAUCUCCCCUUUAGGCCAAUGAUAUGCAGGUUGUAGAGAGGAAGACAGCUAGGCUUGAGAGGGCUGCAGGGAAAGUGGUGUCUUCAGGAGGCAACCAUGAUUCAGAGAAGAGGACAUAGGGGAGGGUGAUGGCAGCUGUAACAUCUAGAGGGGAUAAUGGAAAGGUCCUAGGCAGGGGGAGGCCAUUGGAGAUAGAAGCAAAUGAGAGAAUACUCUGGGCAAUAUGGGGAUAAGCAAAUAGAUGAAGGAAAAAUGGCAUGGGAACUUAGACUAUUUUGGCAACAGGUAACCAGCAAUGAGGGCACGAUGGCAUGACCCUAGGGAUCACUUCAGUGUGGUGCAUAAUUAAUCUAGUGACUCAUGAGGGGGUAGGGAACAGGGAAUGGGUGUGUGGAGAAGAGAGAGCUGGGAUGGACAUCCUCUAUCCACAAGAACAGGUGGGAUGCUAGGGGCCUCCCCCAGAAGUAAGAGACAGUUUUGCUCAAAGAAAAUGAUGCCAAUUUGGUUUGCCCCCUAACAAUUCACUGUUCUCCUGUUGCCCUUACUCCCUAUUUAAGAAAAGGCUGGCCUCACCGUGGCUUAUCCCUCGAGAGGCCGUACAGACAGCAGCUAUACAGAAGUUCAUAAGUAAAGAGUAUCAUUCAGCCCUGGACCUGAGCCACAAAUGGUGCUUUAACAACCACACUUUUCAUCAGCUAAACUUUUUACUGGAAGAUCUACAGUAGGUUCAGUAGAUUUUAGCUGCCUGGGGAACUGUUAGUUCUCCAAGUCACUUCAGAGCAAGAGGCCCUUAAGCUGGGCAGUUCUAACUUUCAACUCAUUCCCCACUUGUGCAGUUAAGAAGACUAUAAAGAGAAUAAUGAAACAGACCUUUGGGAGCCACAGUUUCAGCACUCUUUCCUGUAGUUUGUGAGUUCAAACAAGGCAAAAUGUUUCCAGCUCUGGAUGCUUUCUUUGAAUAAGAGAGUAGAAGCCGCGUGGGUACUGUGUUUUCAGGUCUCAUGGUGUGCUGCUAAGGCGUUAUGCACAAUGCCAUCUUGAUGGCAUGAACUUGGUAGGUCAUGUUUAUUUUAUUGAAAAGACUCCCUAGGGUCUACCCUGAAGGCACAUUUGCCAUGCUGUUCCAUGGGCUAGGAAGGCCCCUUACCAAAACUGCAGCUCUGUCUGAUGACUUCCUACUGGUCUUUAGGACUCACACCAAAGUCAUGGCUCUGCAGUGCUCUCCUCAGCUUCACCUUUAUGGUCUCUUAAGUUACUUCUAUAGCACAUCAUAUAACAUGACAAUAACUGUAAAUUUAUGUACCCCAGAGGACCUAGUCCAUAGCCCUCAGUUUAUUCAUCAUAGCCAUCAGAAACAUCAUUGUAUUUUAUCCAAUACCUUUAACACCCAACAUCGUCUUUAGUGUAGACGUGGAUAGAGUUGAUGAAGGACAGUUACACGUAGUUGUUUAGACAUGAUUUUCACAUCAUGGAUGUAAUUGUAUUAUCUCAGAAAGAAAGAGUGGUUUGGGUUUCUUUCCUUGCCAUCAAUCCCUGGCAGAUUAUCUGGGCACAGAUAAGAGUCUCUGAGACCAAGAUAUAAUUAUAUCCUGUGCUGGUGAUCAUGAUACUUUUAAUGCUGGUCAAAUCCCUGAGGCCAGAACCUUGCUACGUUCCUUAGAAGCUGAAACACUCUUUCAACGGAAAUAAUUUGAGAGCUGACAGUUUCCAUUUACUAUGGAAUUUACUUACUAUGUGAGCACUUACUAUGUUCCAGGCACUAUGCUAAUCCCUUCACCUAUUGUACUACAUUCCUUAUAGAAAUAUGAUAAGGGAGGAACUAUUAACCCUACUUCCAGAAUAAAACAAAUUUAGGCUUAUAUAUAUAUUACAUAACUUAAGUUCAUAAAGCUAUGAGGUGGCAGAGCUGGGUUUGAACCCUGGUCUUAGAUUCCAAAACUCAUGUGUAUGGUACUCUAAUCAGAGUGCAGCUCUGCAGUGUAAGGAACACUGGGGUUUGUGGCAAGCAUUACAUUCUUUAAUGCUCUCCUGAAUUUUCAAGGUGUCAUAAUUAUAUCAAUAAUAUAAACUACCCAGCCUGGGAAUGAUUUUUUGAAGGAUAUCCCAGCUUGAGAAUCAAUGGGAAUGAUUACUUAAACUCCACUUGGAGAUUUUAGUCAUUUCAUAAUGUUACAUAUAAAAUCAUGUUUCAGUGGAACUGACAUCAUAGGCAAUUCUAUCUUCAAUGUUCUCCGAAGGAUACCCAGACAUCUAGUUUGAAUAGUGACGCUAACACAGUAGGCCCCACAUCUGCAAGCAAAUCCUUUCUCUUGAGUUUAUAACUUAAGAUUCAUUUUAAUUACCUAGUUUUAAAGAGGCAUAUACAGGAUGUAGCAAAUGAAAUCUUGAUACUACCUACUUUGUAUCCUUAUUGAUUUCCAAUUUAUUCUUGCAUUAAUUUCACUUAAUAUUGUCUAGGCUUUUUGUUUGACUAACGGAAAUCCAGAUGAACAUGCUGCUCAUAGUAUCCAUUGAUUAGUGCCAUCAUCACUGAAAUUGACAAUUAAAAUUGAUAAUAUCAUCCCUCAAAUAUCACAGGCCACAAAACACUCUGUGUGUGUGUGUGUGUGUUUGAGUAUAUUUGCAUUCCCAAAAAUUACUGCAAACUCACUGUGCUGACAUUCUGUUUGGCAAAAGGCAUGGAGGGAUUUAAGAGCAAGAAGAUACAAUCUUGGCCCCUUAAGAAGCUCCAUUUAUCAAGAGUUAUCAAUGGAGCAAAGUGACAGGCACUGGGAUAAGCACAUUACAUACCACCAUUAACCACGGCAACAUCCCUACUUUGUAGGAGUUAUUAUCUCCAUCUUGUAGAUGAGAUCAGACAAGUCAAGUUACCUGGCAUUGCCAUGUAUCUUGCAUAAGGCAAGUUGAGAGGCAGAUCUAGGUUUGAAUGGCUCUCAAUUUUCUGCUAUUUCCACUUCACCACUCUCCCUCCUGAAUUGCUUCUUAUUUGAUAAAGAAAAUAAUCAGAUGUGGGAAAGACAGAAAGAGAUAUAUGCGAAUGGGGGCACAAAAAGCAACUAACACUGAUUUGAGAUUCUGGGAAGCUUCAUGAGGAAACUGACAUUGAUUUGGCUCUUAAAGGAUGUUUGGAGCAUGCCAGCUAGAAGGAAGGCAAGCAAGAAGGACACAGCAAUAGCAAGUGGAAAGUUCUAGAGGUAUGAAAUGGCAUGGCAGGUGUGGUGGGAAGUGGUAGGAGACGAGAAUGAAACUGGAGGUAGGGCCUUUUACACUAUGUGAAGGGCUUUGUCCUGGGCAAGUGAUAGUCAUCAUAUGUAAAUAGCAAGAUCAAGCUAUGAUCGGAUGAAUAAUUUUGAAAAGGCAGCCUGCAAAGGACAAAAGUACAGGAGAGAUGUAAGGGAAAAGUACAGGAGAGAUGUAAAGGUAAGGGAAAAGUGAUUAAAGAAAGCAGAUUAAAAAGGCAAAGAUGAGUGGAAUAGAUUAACUGGUGAGCAAAUUUAUGAGUGAAGAAGGGGGUAGAGAAGAAAAAUAUGAGUUGGCUGGGCACGGUGGCUCACGCUUGUAGUCCCAGACAAAUUAAGUGACCCGUCAUUGCUAUGCAUCUUGCAUAACUUUUGGGAGGCUGAGGAGGGAAGACAGCUUCAGCCCAGGUGUUUGAGACCAGCCUGGGCAAUAUGGCGAAACCCUGUCUCUACAAAAAAAAUACAAAAAUUAGCUGGGCAUGGUGGCAUAUGCCUGCAGUUCCAGCUACUUGGGAGGCUGAGGUGGGAGGAUCACCUGAACCUAGGGAGGCCAAGGCUGCAGUGAACCGUGAACAUGCCACUGCACUCCAGAAUGGGUGAUAGAAUGACACAAUGAGACUGUCUCAAAAAAAAAAGAAAGAGAAAGAAAGGAAAGAAAGAAAAGAAAGAAAAGAAAGGAGAAAGAAAGAAGAAAGAAAGAGAGAAAGAAAG
This is a long non-coding RNA of Symphalangus syndactylus (siamang), 6533 nucleotides long. RefSeq lists it as uncharacterized. NCBI's taxonomy places the organism in Eukaryota, Metazoa, Chordata, Mammalia, Primates, Hylobatidae. The record is from RefSeq and is a predicted model, not a curated record.